CUUACUUUUCACACUCCUAGUGGCUGCCCUCAUCUUUGGAAUUAUCUUCCCCUGGAAGUCACCCAAGGCUAAACUGGUGCUUCGUAUGGAACUUAUGAAAUACAUUUUUAUAAACACUGACUCUUGGUGGCAAGAGAAUAAGUAGCAGUUAGAUAGAAUAACUAGCAUACUUGUAUCAGUCUGGAGCCUCGGGAUGGGACUUGAGUAUGCAAGUAAAUAAAUAAAACAGAGUCCCCUUUCAUCCAGAGCUGCAAGUGUUUUUAUUUUUACAAUGAAUUCAUUUUACCAUACAACCUAAAUGUCAGAUAUUGCUUGCCUCAGCUCCUGUGAGAGAAGAUCCAAAUAUAGCUACCUGCAUAAAUAAUGUAAGUGAAGUUUGGCCCAUUGUCCUACUUUGGCAACUUGUAGAGUUAGCAAUGCAUUUUUCCAUUAUAUUAUUUCAUUUAUGAUGUGCUAGUAAAAUGGGACUCAAGACAGAACUGCUGGUUGGUAUGGAGCCAAGAACAUUGUAACAGAUCUUCUCUAUUUAGUUUCACUGUUUGCUAUGGAAGCCAUAGUUCCAAACACUGUGUUCCUUAACCCACUGGACCUCUCUGCCAUCUCUCUGCCUGGAUUUACUGGUGUUGAUCUAGAUUCUCUGCACUAUUCACUGUGGUCAAGAAACAGCAUAAACUGAUCGAAGAAUCAGCAAGAGUAGGAAGACUAACUCAUCACAGGCAGGCAGAGGAAAGGCAGGAAUGUAUCCAUGUGUUCAUACAUCAAUGCAGGUGAAGCAGUGACUGUCCUAAAUCAAUGCUUGGAUGUAGUAAUUGAAUUGACCAGCUGAUCCUCAGUCCAGACAAGACAGAAGUACUGUUGGUCGGUGGUUCCUCCACCUGGGUGAAAGAUGUUCAGCCUGUUCUACAUGGGGUUGGAUCCCUCUGAAGGACCAGGUUUGCAGUUUGGGGGAGCUCAUCAACCAAGUGACCACUGUGGCUCGGAGUGCCUUUUAUCAGCUUCAACUGAUAUGCCAACUGCAACCUUACCUGGACAGAGAUAACUUGGCCACGGUUACUCAUGCUCUGGUAACCUCUUGCUUAGAUUACUGCAAUAUGUUGUAUGUGGGGCUGCCUUUGAAAAAGGUCUGGAAACUGGAGCUGGUACAAAAUAAGGCUGCAAGAUUAUUAACUGCAAGUUUAUUAACAUUUUGAUCAUAUUACACCAAUGCUUUGUCAUCUGCACUGGCUCCCAGUCCAUUUCCGGACCCGAUUCAAAGUGCUGGUUUUAACCUUUAAAGCCCUAAAUGCAGGGGCGUAACUAGGGGUAGGGCAGGCAGGGCACGUGCCCUGGGCGCCACUUGAAGGGGGGCGCCAUUUUGUAAAAUUAAUUUUUUUUUA
Molecule: long non-coding RNA, 1376 nt
Organism: Hemicordylus capensis (graceful crag lizard)
Lineage: Eukaryota; Metazoa; Chordata; Lepidosauria; Squamata; Cordylidae
Exons: 3
Source: RefSeq, a predicted model, not a curated record